Molecule: ribosomal RNA, 472 nt
Filed under: uncultured bacterium
Lineage: Bacteria
Description: partial 16S ribosomal RNA
Rfam family: Bacterial small subunit ribosomal RNA
Source: RNAcentral
GACGAACGCUGGCGGCGUGCUUAACACAUGCAAGUCGAACGCUCAGGCUUGGUGCUUGCUCAGGAUAGCUGAGAGGCGAACGGGUGAGUAAUACGUGAGUAACCUGCUCUCGACUCUGGGAUAAGCCUGGGAAACUGGGUCUAAUACUGGAUAUGACAUGCCAAUUCAUUGUGGUGUGUGGAAAGGUUUUUACUGGUUUUGGAUGGGCUCACGGCCUAUCAGCUUGUUGGUGGGGUAAUGGCCUACCAAGGCGACGACGGGUAGCCGGCCUGAGAGGGUGACCGGCCACACAGGGACUGAGACACGGCCCAGAGUCCUACGGGAGGCAGCAGUGGGAAAUUGUGCGCAAUGGGCGGAAGCCUGAUGCAGCGACGCCGCGUGGGGGAUGACGGCCUUCGGGGUGUAAACCUCUUUCAGCACGGAAGAAGCGAGAGUGACGGUACGUGCAGAAGAAGCGCCGGCUAACUACGUG